AGUUGCAAAAUAUUUUCGAUAACCGUGGACGUAAUUAAACUGACAAAUAUUACUCGUAAAUAUAUUAUACGUGCUUACAACGUGCAAAAUAGUUUGUGUUAACGGCUGUUUACAAUGUCGAAAAUCAGAACGUGAUGAAUUUAUUCAAAUAUUGAAAUAUAGUUUAUGUACAUAAAUACCAAUAAGCCGAUAUGUGGUUUAUAAAAUAAAGUGAUUUAUAUGUCAGUCAGGGAAAAAGUCAACAAAAAAUGUAUUCGUUAAAUUAUGCAGUAGUUAGCAGUUGGUUGGUCUUUACUGAAAUAUUAAAUAUCUUGAACUAAGAACGUUAGUUAUGGACUGUUAUGGAAGUCAGGAACUUCCUGAUUGUGCCACGUAGUUGGAAUACCGAGCUCAAAGAACACAGUCGACAGCGUACCAGUCGAUACCGAAAACAUGUGUCAAUGGAGAGGUCGGGUGCUAGCGAGCGCGCUGGCG
This 474-nucleotide unclassified non-coding RNA is filed under the name Melitaea cinxia (Glanville fritillary). Its description in RNAcentral is "misc RNA ENSMCXG00005006106.1". The record is from RNAcentral. Lineage: Eukaryota; Metazoa; Arthropoda; Insecta; Lepidoptera; Nymphalidae.